This 814-nucleotide ribosomal RNA is filed under the name Escherichia coli. RNAcentral's name for it is "partial 23S ribosomal RNA". It matches the Rfam family "Bacterial large subunit ribosomal RNA", at positions 425 to 1239 of the family's 2925-position model. The record is from RNAcentral. Lineage: Bacteria; Pseudomonadati; Pseudomonadota; Gammaproteobacteria; Enterobacterales; Enterobacteriaceae.
CGUGGUAUCCUGUCUGAAUAUGGGGGGACCAUCCUCCAAGGCUAAAUACUCCUGACUGACCGAUAGUGAACCAGUACCGUGAGGGAAAGGCGAAAAGAACCCCGGCGAGGGGAGUGAAAAAGAACCUGAAACCGUGUACGUACAAGCAGUGGGAGCACGCUUAGGCGUGUGACUGCGUACCUUUUGUAUAAUGGGUCAGCGACUUAUAUUCUGUAGCAAGGUUAACCGAAUAGGGGAGCCGAAGGGAAACCGAGUCUUAACUGGGCGUUAAGUUGCAGGGUAUAGACCCGAAACCCGGUGAUCUAGCCAUGGGCAGGUUGAAGGUUGGGUAACACUAACUGGAGGACCGAACCGACUAAUGUUGAAAAAUUAGCGGAUGACUUGUGGCUGGGGGUGAAAGGCCAAUCAAACCGGGAGAUAGCUGGUUCUCCCCGAAAGCUAUUUAGGUAGCGCCUCGUGAAUUCAUCUCCGGGGGUAGAGCACUGUUUCGGCAAGGGGGUCAUCCCGACUUACCAACCCGAUGCAAACUGCGAAUACCGGAGAAUGUUAUCACGGGAGACACACGGCGGGUGCUAACGUCCGUCGUGAAGAGGGAAACAACCCAGACCGCCAGCUAAGGUCCCAAAGUCAUGGUUAAGUGGGAAACGAUGUGGGAAGGCCCAGACAGCCAGGAUGUUGGCUUAGAAGCAGCCAUCAUUUAAAGAAAGCGUAAUAGCUCACUGGUCGAGUCGGCCUGCGCGGAAGAUGUAACGGGGCUAAACCAUGCACCGAAGCUGCGGCAGCGACGCUUAUGCGUUGUUGGGUAGGGGAGCGU